Molecule: long non-coding RNA, 303 nt
Filed under: Lathyrus oleraceus (garden pea)
Lineage: Eukaryota; Viridiplantae; Streptophyta; Magnoliopsida; Fabales; Fabaceae
Description: Pisum sativum (pea) long non-coding RNA (PSAT_LNC015696)
Source: RNAcentral
GCUGAAUUCAAUUGAGAGAGAGUAGUGGAGAAUUGAGAGAUAUUUUGGUGCGCUGACACAUUCUAAGUGGAGGAAGAGAGAUAUUUUUAUUUUUUCUGAUUGGAUGAAUGAAAGAGUAUGGAUAGCUAAUUAAUUUGAAUCAAUGAUCCAGAUUAAAUAAAAGAAGCACACAUAAUUUAAAAUGUCAAAGUUGCCCCUUCUAAAAACUUUAAUUAAUUUAAAUGAGAUUAAAUCAAUUAAAACAACUAAAAUUCAUAUCUUCUUAAAUAAAUAUAAUAAAAAUAAAAUGAAAUGGUAGAAAAU